RNAcentral lists this ribosomal RNA (404 nucleotides) under uncultured bacterium. RNAcentral describes it as "bacterial SSU rRNA". It matches the Rfam family "Bacterial small subunit ribosomal RNA", at positions 30 to 430 of the family's 1533-position model. The record is from RNAcentral.
AUUGAACGCUGGCGGCAUGCCUUACACAUGCAAGUCGAACGGCAGCAUGGAGAGCUUGCUCUCUGAUGGCGAGUGGCGAACGGGUGAGUAAUGCAUCGGAACGUACCGUGUAAUGGGGGAUAACGUAGCGAAAGUUACGCUAAUACCGCAUACGACCUGAGGGUGAAAGCAGGGGAUCGCAAGACCUUGCGUUAUACGAGCGGCCGAUGUCAGAUUAGCUAGUUGGUGAGGUAAAGGCUCACCAAGGCGACGAUCUGUAGCGGGUCUGAGAGGAUGAUCCGCCACACUGGGACUGAGACACGGCCCAGACUCCUACGGGAGGCAGCAGUGGGGAAUUUUGGACAAUGGGCGCAAGCCUGAUCCAGCCAUGCCGCGUGAGUGAAGAAGGCCUUCGGGUUGUUAAA